RNAcentral lists this ribosomal RNA (440 nucleotides) under uncultured bacterium. Its description in RNAcentral is "bacterial SSU rRNA". It matches the Rfam family "Bacterial small subunit ribosomal RNA", at positions 348 to 780 of the family's 1533-position model. The record is from RNAcentral.
GCAGCAGUGGGGAAUUUUGGACAAUGGGCGCAAGCCUGAUCCAGCUAUUCCGCGUGUGGGAUGAAGGCCCUCGGGUUGUAAACCACUUUUGUAGAGAACGAAAAGACACCUUCGAAUAAAGGGUGUUGCUGACGGUACUCUAAGAAUAAGCACCGGCUAACUACGUGCCAGCAGCCGCGGUAAUACGUAGGGUGCGAGCGUUAAUCGGAAUUACUGGGCGUAAAGGGUGCGCAGGCGGUUGAGUAAGACAGAUGUGAAAUCCCCGAGCUUAACUCGGGAAUGGCAUAUGUGACUGCUCGACUAGAGUGUGUCAGAGGGAGGUGGAAUUCCACGUGUAGCAGUGAAAUGCGUAGAUAUGUGGAAGAACACCGAUGGCGAAGGCAGCCUCCUGGGACAUAACUGACGCUCAGGCACGAAAGCGUGGGGAGCAAACAGGAUUA